RNAcentral lists this small RNA (83 nucleotides) under Arabidopsis thaliana (thale cress). Its description in RNAcentral is "ATSL017160". Lineage: Eukaryota; Viridiplantae; Streptophyta; Magnoliopsida; Brassicales; Brassicaceae. The record is from RNAcentral.
UUUCUAAAUUAGGAUGAUUUGAUAUGUUUAAUAUUAGUAGUCUUAAAAAAUAAUAAAUUAAAGAUUUAACCCAUAUUGAAAUU